Molecule: long non-coding RNA, 268 nt
Filed under: Nicotiana benthamiana
Lineage: Eukaryota; Viridiplantae; Streptophyta; Magnoliopsida; Solanales; Solanaceae
Description: long non-coding RNA (NBEN_LNC021093)
Source: RNAcentral
CAAAGGGAUGCAACUACCCUAACUAACUCUCCUUCUGGUGAUUGCAACACAGUAGCAUUUUCAUAGGCGGGGCAGCACCAGAUUGUAACAACUGAUCCAGUAAUCUCUUUAGAGGAAAGACAACUCUUGGAUGAAAUGGUAAGUACAUAUCCACUAAACGCUUUAAAUCAUGCUAAUUCUAGUACUAGUCGUGGGAACAUGAGCAGGAACAAAUCGCAAAAACAACAACAAAACAAGGAAGUUAUGGGUAAUGUACAAUUGACAACAC